UUUUUUUGAACCCCGGUACUUCGUUGAUUGAUCUUUUUCUUUGAACCCCGAAAUUUUUCGUGUGAGUGAUCCCUGAUCACCGCAUUUGAACCCCGAUAACUCUUGCUACCAAACAAUGAACCCCGUUCUCCAUUUGAACCCCAAUCGCCUGACGAUAACUCACGAUCGCCAUUGUGAACCCCAUUCUCCAGAAAACACCCCGUGCCUCCUUUUCUCCAUUUGAACCCCGCUCUCCAAAAAACACCCCGUGUCUUCCUUUCUCCAUUUGAAC
This 271-nucleotide long non-coding RNA is filed under the name Lathyrus oleraceus (garden pea). RNAcentral describes it as "Pisum sativum (pea) long non-coding RNA (PSAT_LNC029774)". The record is from RNAcentral. Lineage: Eukaryota; Viridiplantae; Streptophyta; Magnoliopsida; Fabales; Fabaceae.